Molecule: ribosomal RNA, 891 nt
Filed under: uncultured bacterium
Lineage: Bacteria
Description: bacterial SSU rRNA
Rfam family: Bacterial small subunit ribosomal RNA
Source: RNAcentral
UGCAGAAUUCGCCUUAGAGUUUGAUCCUGGCUCAGGAUGAACGCUGGCGGUAUGCUUUACACAUGCAAGUCGUACGAGAGUUUUUAACUCAAGUGGCGGACGGGUGAGUAACACGUAAGAAUUUGCCUUUAGGAGGGGGAUAACAACUGGAAACGGUUGCUAAUACCCCAUAUGCUUUCGAGUAAAAUGGAUUUUCCGCCUAAAGAGAAGCUUGCGGCUGAUUAGCUUGUUGGUGAGGUAAUGGCUCACCAAGGCGACGAUCAGUAUCUGGUUUGAGAGGACGAUCAGACACACUGGAACUGAGACACGGUCCAGACUCCUACGGGAGGCAGCAGUGGGGAAUUUUCCGCAAUGGGCGAAAGCCUGACGGAGCAAUACCGCGUGAGGGAUGACGGCCUAUGGGUUGUAAACCUCUUUUUUCAGGGAGGAAUCAAUGACGUGUACCUGAAGAAUAAGCAUCGGCUAACUCCGUGCCAGCAGCCGCGGUAAGACGGAGGAUGCAAGUGUUAUCCGGAAUCACUGGGCGUAAAGCGUCUGUAGGUGGUCAAAUAAGUCAACUGUUAAAUCUUGAGGCUCAACCUCAAAAUCGCAGUCGAAACUAUUCGACUAGAGUAUAGUAGGGGUAAAGGGAAUUUCCAGUGGAGCGGUGAAAUGCGUAGAGAUUGGAAAGAACACCGAUGGCGAAGGCACUUUACUGGGCUAUUACUAACACUGAGAGACGAAAGCUAGGGUAGCAAAUGGGAUUAGAUACCCCAGUAGUCCUAGCCGUAAACAAUGGAUACUAGAUGUUGAACAGAUCGACCUGUGCAGUAUCAAAGCUAACGCGUUAAGUAUCCCGCCUGGGAAGUAUGCUCGCAAGAGUGAAACUCAAAUGAAUUGACGGGGAAGGGC